AUUGAACGCUGGCGGCAGGCCUAACACAUGCAAGUCGAGCGGAUGAAGGGAGCUUGCUCCUGGAUUCAGCGGCGGUCGGGUGAGUAAUGCCUAGGAAUCUGCCUGGUAGUGGGGGAUAACGUCCGCAACCGGGCGCUAAUACCGCAUACGUCCUGAGGGAGAAAGUGGGGGAUCUUCGGACCUCACGCUCUCAGAUGAGCCUAGGUCGGAUUAGCUAGUUGGUGGGGUAAAGGCCUACCAAGGCGACGAUCCGUAACUGGUCUGAGAGGAUGAUCAGUCACACUGGAACUGAGACACGGUCCAGACUCCUACGGGAGGCAGCAGUGGGGAAUAUUGGACAAUGGGCGAAAGCCUGAUCCAGCCAUGCCGCGUGUGUGAAGAAGGUCUUCGGAUUGUAAAGCACUUUAAGUUGGGAGGAAGGGCAGUAAGUUAAUACCUUGCUGUUUUGACGUUACCAACAGAAUAAGCACCGGCUAACUUCGUG
Molecule: ribosomal RNA, 484 nt
Filed under: uncultured bacterium
Lineage: Bacteria
Description: partial 16S ribosomal RNA
Rfam family: Bacterial small subunit ribosomal RNA
Source: RNAcentral